AAGAGUUCAGUUUAGGGUUUAAAACCCUAAUGCUGACUAAAGUAAAAGUUCAGUUUAGGGUUUAAAACCCUAAUGCUGACUAAAGGGAAAAAGUUCAGUUCAGGGUUUAAAACCAUAAUGCUGACUAAAGGAGAAGUUCAGUUUAGGGUUUAAAAUCCUAAUGCUGACUAAAGGAAAAGUUCAGUUUAGGGUUUAAAACCCUAAUGCUGACUAAAGGAAAAGUUCAGUUUAGGGUUUAAAACCCUAAUGCUGACUAAAGGAAAGAGUUCAGUUCAGGGUUUAAAACCUUAAUGCUGACUAAAGGAAAGAGUUUAGUUUAGAGUUUAAAACCCUAAUGCUGACUAAAGGAAAAGUUCAGUUUAGGGUUUAAAACCCUAAUGCUGACUAAAGGAAAGAGUUCAGUUCAGGGUUUAAAACCCUAAUGCUGACUAAAGGAAAGAGUUCAGUUCUGGGUUUAAAACCCUAAUGCUGACUAAAGGAAAGAGUUCAGUUUAGGGUUUAAAACCCUAAUGCUGACUAAAGGAAAGAGUUCAGUUUAGGGUUUAAAACUCUAAUGCUGACUAAAGGACGGAGUUCAGUUUAGGGUUUAAAAUCCUAAUGCUGACUAAAGGAAAGAGUUCAGUUCAGGGUUUAAAACCCUAAUGCUGACUAAAGGAAAGAGUUCAGUUCAGGGUUUAAAACCCUAAUGCUGACUAAAGGAAAGAGUUCAGUUUAGGAUUUAAAACUCUAAUGCUGACUAAAGGAAAAGUUCAGUUCAGGGUUUAAAACCCUAAUGGUGACUAAAGGAAAGAAUUCAGUUCAGGGUUUAAAACCCUAAUGCUGACUAAAGGAAAGAGUUCAGUUUAGGGUUUAAAACUCUAAUGCUGACUAAAGGAAAAGUUCAGUUUAGGGUUUAAAACCCUAAUGCUGACUAAAGGAAAGAGUUCAGUUCAGGGUUUAAAACCCUAAUGCUGACUAAAGGAAAGAGUUCAGUUCAGGGUUUAAAACCCUAAUGCUGACUAAAGGAAAGAGUUCAGUUCAGGGUUUAAAACCCUAAUGCUGACUAAAGGAAAGAGUUCAGUUUAGGGUUUAAAACCCUAAUGCUGACUAAAGGAAAAGUUCAGUUUUGGGUUUAAAACCCUAAUGCUGACUAAAGGAAA
Molecule: long non-coding RNA, 1139 nt
Filed under: Nicotiana tabacum (common tobacco)
Lineage: Eukaryota; Viridiplantae; Streptophyta; Magnoliopsida; Solanales; Solanaceae
Description: long non-coding RNA (NTAB_LNC001797)
Source: RNAcentral